This 486-nucleotide ribosomal RNA is filed under the name uncultured bacterium. RNAcentral describes it as "partial 16S ribosomal RNA". It matches the Rfam family "Bacterial small subunit ribosomal RNA", at positions 30 to 507 of the family's 1533-position model. The record is from RNAcentral.
AUUGAACGCUGGCGGCAUGCCUUACACAUGCAAGUCGAACGGCAGCACGGGUGCUUGCACCUGGUGGCGAGUGGCGGACGGGUGAGUAAUACAUCGGAACAGGUCUUGUCUUGGGGGUUAGCCCGGCGAAAGCCGGAUUAAUACCGCAUACGAUCUACGGAUGAGAGCGGGGGACCUUCGGGCUUCGCGCUAUAGGGUUGGCCGAUGGCUGAUUAGCUAGUUGGUGGGGUAAAGGCCUACCAAGGCGACGAUGAGUAGCUGGUCUGAGAGGAUGACCAGCCACACUGGGACUGAGACACGGCCCAGACUCCUACGGGAGGCAGCAGUGGGGAAUAUUGGACAAUGGGCGAAAGCCUGAUCCAGCAAUGCCGCGUGUGUGAAGAAGGCCUUCGGGUUGUAAAGCCCUUUUGUCCGGAAAGAAAACCUUCGCCCUAAUACGGUCGGGUGAUGACGGUACCGGAAGAAUAAGCACCGGCUAACUACGUG